GACUUGGUUUAGGGCACAGCAGUGGUAUAGGAAUCACCCGGGGCCUCAUUCCAGAAAUGCUUUCCCCUUUCCCCAUCUUGGGAGCCUGAAGGAGAAGGAGGGCCCAAAGAAUUAGGACCAGGCAGGUGGGAACAGAAUCGGCGGCUGGGACUACCUUAUCUACCUGAUGGAGGCCCAGUGGAACCAUUGGCUGCAUCACUAGGGGAGGGCACUGAGGACGAGGGAGGAGGCAACAGGCUUUGCCAAUUACUCCUGGACUAUUGUGCCCAGUUCUCACAUCGCGAUGUGUCCAGAGGAAAAGAGCAGGUAGGUAAGAAGUCAGCUCACCAAGUCAUGGGAGGCUCAGCUGAAAAAACUGGGGCUACAUAACUUAGCGAAGACUUGGGGGAGGCUGGGUUGUUGCUGGCCCCGAGCAGAUUGACUUGCUCUGUGGGACCCAGUCAGCCAGGAUAGGCGAGGCAUUGCUGCUGUAACGAACAAUCCCCAAAUCUCAGGCUUACCCAGCUAAGACUUAUUUCUUGCACCCAGCACAGAUCAGGGCAGUUUUGAGAGGGGGGGCUCUGCUCGUCCUGGUCACUUGGAGGGGGGUCCAAGCCAAGUGGGUUUUCCUCCAGACAGACAUGAGCCCCCCAAACCCUGCAGCAUAGGAAUGUGGUGAACUUUACACUGGCUUUUAAAGUGUCUGUUCACAUUUCCUUGGUUAGAGGAAGUCAUGUGGGAAUACCUAAUUUCAGGAGGCCAGGAAGUACAAUCCUACCCAGUGCCCAAGAGCAGGUGGAAAUGUUUGACGGGCAGCACCAACAACUAUCUCAGGCCCCAAAGGGGUGACUGAGUGUGGGUGGAUGUACUCAGAAGUCAACUUUAAGUUCAUUUAAGCAUGAUCUUCCUGGGAAAAUAGUGAGUACCCGCCAAUAGAUGUGUGCAAACCAAGGCAGGAUAGGUGCCCUGCAGGAAGGCGGGGGAAGAGACUCCCCUGUCACUGGGGUGAUGGGAGGUGGCCUGUGUGGCAGUGAAGAGCAGUAGUGGUUGAGGCCUAGGGCUCUGAAACCAGAGGUUCCCGAUUUCAAAUCCCGUUCUGUCUUACUAGCUGUGUCACUUUGUGCAGAUCACCUAACAUCUCUGGACUCCAGUCCACUCCUCUGUUACGUGGGGGCAUAAUAACUCCAUAGAUUGUGGUGAAGGUUAAAUGAGAUAAUAUAUGUAAAGCCUGUAGCACACCACACCUACCUGGCACAUGGGAAGCUCUAAUCAAGUCAGCUGCUUUUACUGUUAAGUUCAUUUUCCCCCCGAGAUCCUAUGACCCACUGCUCAAGGAAUCUUUGGCAGUGUACUUUCUGGGCCUGUCACGUCCCUAAGACAUUAGUCAGUG
RNAcentral lists this long non-coding RNA (1369 nucleotides) under Felis catus (domestic cat). Its description in RNAcentral is "lncRNA (ENSFCAG00000040560.2)". The record is from RNAcentral. Lineage: Eukaryota; Metazoa; Chordata; Mammalia; Carnivora; Felidae.